UACGUAGGGGGCAAGCGUUGUCCGGAUUCAUUGGGCGUAAAGAGCGUGUAGGCGGCCAGGUAGGUCGGUUGUGAAAACUGGAGGCUCAACCUUCAGAGGUCGACCGAAACCAUCUGGCUAGAGUCCGGGAGAGGAGAGUGGAAUUCCUGGUGUAGCGGUGAAAUGCGCAGAUAUCAGGAAGAACACCCAUGGCGAAAGCGGCUCUCUGGAACGGUACUGACGCUGAGACGCGAAAGCGUGGGGAGCGAACAGG
Molecule: ribosomal RNA, 253 nt
Filed under: uncultured bacterium
Lineage: Bacteria
Description: partial 16S ribosomal RNA
Rfam family: Bacterial small subunit ribosomal RNA
Source: RNAcentral